UAUGAAGGGGGCUAGCGUUGCUCGGAAUCACUGGGCGUAAAGGGUGCGUAGGCGGGUUAUUAAGUCAGAGGUGAAAUCCUGGAGCUCAACUCCAGAACUGCCUUUGAUACUGAUAGUCUUGAGUAUGGGAGAGGUGAGUGGAACUGCGAGUGUAGAGGUGAAAUUCGUAGAUAUUCGCAAGAACACCAGUGGCGAAGGCGGCUCACUGGCCCAUUACUGACGCUGAGGCACGAAAGCGUGGGGAGCAAACAGG
RNAcentral lists this ribosomal RNA (253 nucleotides) under uncultured bacterium. Its description in RNAcentral is "partial 16S ribosomal RNA". It matches the Rfam family "Bacterial small subunit ribosomal RNA", at positions 524 to 776 of the family's 1533-position model. The record is from RNAcentral.